Molecule: long non-coding RNA, 2297 nt
Organism: Poeciliopsis prolifica (blackstripe livebearer)
Lineage: Eukaryota; Metazoa; Chordata; Actinopteri; Cyprinodontiformes; Poeciliidae
Exons: 3
Source: RefSeq, a predicted model, not a curated record
CAGUCAGGACUUCAAAAAAAAAAAAAAGUGUUUUAAAUAGACUGAAGAAGAAGAGAGUGCGGGGGACCCCACAAUUAGUAACGUGAGACUUUCUGCGUGUGGGUCCCGGCCCAAUUCUCUGGAAUCAAUCAAAGCUCCCGGAGGAACUCCCCGCACCCCUUAAUCUCCAGGUUUUAUUACUUUCCAGACAGUCAGCCUGUUUCAACCCUACCCCCUCAUCUUUCUUUUGUACCAAACUGCGCUAAAGCCAAGGAGGAGCCGUUUCUUUUUCCUCCAAUCUAUCUCUCUCUCUCUUGCCAUCUCUUCCACUACCGGGGAGCGCUUUUCAUUCAGGAGAGGGUCUUUCAUCAGCCUGCACAUGCAAGACAGUCCAACAGCUAGCAGAGGCCCAUCACUUUCACUGCUUUCAUCCUUUUAACUACAAAAAAAACGAGAAAAAAAAGAAACGAUGAGUUCUUCUCACUACGACACAUUAACUAUUUUGCAUAUCACAGGAAUUAAGAGAGAGAAUCUGGGCCACGUUGCACAACAGUCGGAGAUGUUCGAAAUUUUCAGAACACAUGCUGCUGAUCUUGAUCAAACCUUCCAGCUUGGAAGAAUGAUAUGACCAGAGGUCAAAAUCUGACAAUUUUCCCUUAAUUUACUCUCACCGGGUGAUCGGCGGACCUAUUGGUAGUGGGAAGGAAAUGCCCACUACCAGAUUUGCUACGGUAUCUGAGCGAGCGUCUCGUUCAUCUAGACGCUAGGAGAAGCUUCCAGGUCGUUGUUUCUAAUGCCUUCGUAAGGACGACAUGAGAGGACGUCACUUUAAAAUAUUUGGUAAAACCCAAAGAGUUUUGUGGUGUUUAUCCAUCUUCUAAGCAUAUAUUGAUGCUGGGGUAAUGAGAUCUCUGCUGGUCUGAUGAGGCAAAAUGAUUAUCUGACAUGUAUCACUAAUGAUUCUUUUGAGCACAGACACACCAAUCAAUCUGGAAGAGAUAGGAAUCGGCUAAUUUCCCUGUGAUUGUUGUUCAAAAACCAGCAAUUUCUUAGUGGUAUUAUCCUCAUUUAUCCCAAGCCCAAACUUCUAUCAAUGUGAUUUUAAAUAAAUAAAUAAAUAAAAAACAGGGAAAAUGUAUGCAGUUAUAAUGAGAAAACAGACAAUAAAUGGUGACAGUUUUUAAGGGGGUGAAGGAGACGAGUAAAGACAAAUGUACAACCGAAACGUGUCCAAUUUGACUGCACUGGGGUUCCUCAAGGCUGUGUGUUUAGUGAACUGCUGUUCUCACUGCUAACAUACUAGCCCAUGCCUGAAAGUCCACAAAGAAGACGAGCAAAAACCUUAUCGUGAUUACCAAAAUUAUAGAAAAUAAGAAGUCGGAUCAGUGUAUCGCCACUUGAGCUUAAUAUAUAUAUAUACAUACGUGCAUCAAAAGCAGAGAUCUCUCAUUUUCCACUAUCUUUUGCAUCCACGUCUAAAUUUCAAUCGAACACAAAGAAAAACGAAAAUAGUAACUGACCAAAAAAUAAACAAAACAAAGAUCAGAUCAGUGCAUCGAUAUAAAGCACCUUCUGCGACCACUCGGCCACACACACCCACACACACACACACAUGCAUCCCCCGACUCAUUCAGUCCACAAAGCAAAUGUUUGUGGAUGUGUUCUGGAUCGUCCAGAUCCAGAGACGGCUCCAUCGCCAGUCUGGUCCUUGCAGGAGGCAGACAGGGGGAGACAAAAGGAGGGGGCGCGUGGAGGCACGUCGGCUGGUCUGGGGAUCAAACGGCGCGCGCGCUCAUGGAAAAAAAAAAGUAGCCCUACUUUCAAAGUUAACGAGCCGCUGACCCGAGCGCCCCGGCCUGACGGUACACGGCUUCUCUGCUCAGACAUCUCCCCUUACCGGCGUCCGAGCUCUGCCCCCCACCCACAAACCCACCUACAGGUUGAAGUGAGCUGAACGGAGGAGGAGCGGCUCGGAGACGUGCUGUUGUGUUUUACCUUUGUCGACAUGCUUCGCCGCGGUGGUCUCCGCGAAGAGAAAGAAAUAAGACGGGAAUCGAACGAUGUGGUCAAGCAAAGCAGAGAGCUCCUAUUAUAAGGUCAGUGGAUCUGUUUGUAUGAUCAACAUGGAUUAUCAUGGAGUGGAAGAUGAUCCUGAUUUUGAGAGACACACGAGGCUGAGCUCCACUGGAGGAUCAGAUGAACAGUCUUCAGUGUGGCAUUUGGCACAUCCUCGGGAUUAUUUACACUCCGAAUGAAAUGUCACCUCAUCCUGCGACCACUCAGCGUAGAGGAGCCGCCAUGAAGCUGCAACGCUUGUC